Molecule: RNA transcript, 505 nt
Organism: Zea mays
Lineage: Eukaryota; Viridiplantae; Streptophyta; Magnoliopsida; Poales; Poaceae
Gene name: protein-like pseudogene
Exons: 2
Source: RefSeq, marked validated
UCUAGUAUUAAGCUUGCAGUUGCGCGAGGGAUGCCAAAUUAUAUGGCAACAUGAUUUCCAAGUUGAGCAAGCUUGAAGACACGGAAGAUAAUGGCCAAAUGAGUCAGACAGUAAACAAGAAGCGUGGGCUCUUAUGGCCACUGUCGGAAAUGGUUAGGAGAUUCUUCACUGCCGAUGGUAGCAAGGGUUUCACGCUGUGGCCUGCGCUGAGGCUAUUGAUCCCGGUAAUAGCAUUGGUUGCAGUUUGUGUGGGUUACUACAUGCACAGCAGUGUUGAAGAGAUAGACUGCACCAACUGUUAGUUGAGCAGGGUAUCUGUGCUUACCUUCUGUCCUUUUUCAGGUGAGUGUUUAUCGUUGUAUAGAUCUGAUGAGUACUACACGUAUUUGUUGGAUGUGUGGGUUGAGGACUUGAGGGCGAAGUAUUCACGUGUACUGUACUGUUAAACUUGGCUUGUCUAAUAGUUGCUUCCACUGUCUAAAAAAGAAAGAUAAUCUUGUUUUUU